GAGUUUGAUCCUGGCUCAGGACGAACGCUGGCGGCGCGCUUAACACAUGCAAGUCGAACGGAGUCCUUCGGGGCUCAGUGGCGAACGGGUGCGUAACACGUGAGCAACCUGCCUGGUCGUGGGGGAUAACCAGUGGAAACGCUGGCUAAUACCGCAUGAGCUCUUUGGCUCGAUUGGGCUGGAGAGGAAAGCUCCUGCAAGGGAGUGCGACCAGAGGGGCUCGCGGCGUAUCAGCUAGUUGGAGGGGUAACGGCCCACCAAGGCGAUGACGCGUAGCCGAUCUGAGAGGAUGAUCGGCCACAUUGGGACUGAGAUACGGCCCAGACUCCUACGGGAGGCAGCAGUGGGGAAUCUUGCGCAAUGGGCGAAAGCCUGACGCAGCGACGCCGCGUGCGGGAGGAAGCUUUUCGGAGUGUAAACCGCUGUCAGAGGGGAAGAAAUGUCCUGGGAGGAAAUGCCCGGGAUUUGACGGUACCCUCAAAGGAAGCACCGGCUAACUCUGUGCCAGCAGCCGCGGUAAUACAGAGGGUGCGAGCGUUGUUCGGAAUUACUGGGCGUAAAGCGCGCGCAGGCGGCCCUUUAAGUCUGUCGGUCAAACGCCGGGGCUCAACCCCGUGCUCGCCGGAGAUACUGGAGGGCUGGAGACAGGUAGAGGCAGGCGGAAUUCCGGGUGUAGCGGUGGAAUGCAUAGAGAUCCGGAAGAACACCAGAGGCGAAGGCGGCCUGCUGGGCCUUGUCUGACGCUGAGGCGCGAAAGCGUGGGGAGCGAACAGGAUUAGAUACCCUGGUAGUCACGCCGUAAACGAUGGGCACUAGACGCGGGGGGGAUCGACCCUCUCCGUGUCGAAGCUAACGCGAUAAGUGCCCCGCCUGGGGAGUACGGCCGCAAGGCUGAAACUCAAAGGAAUUGACGGGGGCCCGCACAAGCGGUGGAGCAUGUGGUUUAAUUCGAAGCAACGCGAAGAACCUUACCUGGGCUUGACAUGCACGUGAAAUCCUCGUGAAAGCGGGGACCUCCUUCGGGACGCGUGCACAGGUGCUGCAUGGCUGUCGUCAGCUCGUGUCGUGAGAUGUUGGGUUAAGUCCCGCAACGAGCGCAACCCUUAUCCUGUGUUGCCAGCAUUUAGUUGGGGACUCGCAGGAGACUGCCGGGGUCAACUCGGAGGAAGGUGGGGAUGACGUCAAGUCAUCAUGCCCCUUAUGCCCAGGGCUGCAAACACGCUACAAUGGCCGGUACAGAGGGCUGCGAUCCCGCGAGGGUGAGCGAAUCCCACAAAGCCGGUCUCAGUUCGGAUUGGAGGCUGCAACUCGCCUCCAUGAAGCCGGAGUUGCUAGUAAUCCCGGAUCAGCACGCCGGGGUGAAUACGUUCCCGGGCCUUGUACACACCGCCCGUCACACCACGAAAGUCGGUAACACCCGAAGCCGGUGGCCCAACCCGUAAGGGAGGGAGCCGUCGAAGGUGGGAUCGGUGAUUGGGGUGAAGUCGUAACAAGGUAGCCUCAGUCAGUCAA
RNAcentral lists this ribosomal RNA (1512 nucleotides) under uncultured bacterium. Its description in RNAcentral is "partial 16S ribosomal RNA". It matches the Rfam family "Bacterial small subunit ribosomal RNA". The record is from RNAcentral.